Molecule: non-coding RNA, 22 nt
Filed under: Arabidopsis thaliana (thale cress)
Lineage: Eukaryota; Viridiplantae; Streptophyta; Magnoliopsida; Brassicales; Brassicaceae
Source: RNAcentral
AUCACAUGCCAAGUUUGGCCUC